CAGUGACUCUGAGAUGUCAGGCUAUUUUGAGCCACACUGCCCUUUUCUGGUACAGACAGACUGUGGAGCAGGGGCUGGAGUUACUCAUUUACUUUAGAAACCAGGCUCCCAUAGACGAUACAGGGAUGCCCAAGGAUCGGUUCUCAGCUGCCAUGCCCAAUGCCUCCUCCUCUGCCUUGAAGAUCCAGCCCAUGGAACCCAGGGACUCAGCUGUGUACCUCUGUGCCAGCAGCUUAGCCACAGCGCUGCAGACUCACAGU
Molecule: long non-coding RNA, 260 nt
Filed under: Marmota monax (woodchuck)
Lineage: Eukaryota; Metazoa; Chordata; Mammalia; Rodentia; Sciuridae
Source: RNAcentral